AGAGUUUGAUCAUGGCUCAGAUUGAACGCUGGCGGCAUGCCUUACACAUGCAAGUCGAACGGUAACAGGCCGCAAGGUGCUGACGAGUGGCGAACGGGUGAGUAAUGCAUCGGAACGUGCCCAGUAGUGGGGGAUAGCCCGGCGAAAGCCGGAUUAAUACCGCAUACGACCUGAGGGUGAAAGGGGGGGAUCGCAAGACCUCUCGCUAUUGGAGCGGCCGAUGUCAGAUUAGCUAGUUGGUGGGGUAAAGGCCUACCAAGGCAACGAUCUGUAGUUGGUCUGAGAGGACGACCAGCCACACUGGGACUGAGACACGGCCCAGACUCCUACGGGAGGCAGCAGUGGGGAAUUUUGGACAAUGGGCGCAAGCCUGAUCCAGCAAUGCCGCGUGCAGGAAGAAGGCCUUCGGGUUGUAAACUGCUUUUGUCAGGGAAGAAAUCUUCUGGGUUAAUACCUCGGGAGGAUGACGGUACCUGAAGAAUAAGCACCGGCUAACUACGUGCCAGCAGCCGCGGUAAUACGUAGGGUGCGAGCGUUAAUCGGAAUUACUGGGCGUAAAGCGUGCGCAGGCGGCUUUGCAAGACAGAGGUGAGAUCCCCGGGCUCAACCUGGGAACUGCCUUUGUGACUGCAAGGCUUGAGUGCGGCAGAGGGGGAUGGAAUUCCGCGUGUAGCAGUGAAAUGCGUAGAUAUGCGGAGGAACACCGAUGGCGAAGGCAAUCCCCUGGGCCUGCACUGACGCUCAUGCACGAAAGCGUGGGGAGCAAACAGGAUUAGAUACCCCGGUAGUCCAA
This 793-nucleotide ribosomal RNA is filed under the name uncultured bacterium. RNAcentral describes it as "bacterial SSU rRNA". It matches the Rfam family "Bacterial small subunit ribosomal RNA", at positions 8 to 798 of the family's 1533-position model. The record is from RNAcentral.